UGUCUUGUAAUUGGAAUGAUGGUGACCCAAACCCUCACCAGAGUAGCAAUUGGAGGGCAAGUCUGGUGCCAGCAGCCGCGGUAAUUCCAGCUCCAAUAGCGUAUAUUAAACUUGUUGCAGUUAAAAAGCUCGUAGUUGUAUUUUUGCGUUAGCGGUUUGACCAUUUGGUUGGUUAUUUCGUUUUCGCUUUUGGGAAUUUCCCUUUUUACUUUGAGAAAAUUAGAGUGUUUCAAGCAGACUUUUGUCUUGAAUACUUCAGCAUGGAAUAAUAGAGUAGGACUUUGGUUCUAUUUUGUUGGUUAUUGAACCUUAGUAAUGGUUAAUAGGAACGGUUGGGGGCAUUCGUAUUUAACUGUCAGAGGUGAAAUUCUUAGAUUUGUUAAAGACGAACUACUGCGAAAGCAUUUGCCAAGGACGUUUCCAUUAAUCAAGAACGAAAGUUAGGGGAUCGAAGACGAUCAGAUACCGUCGUAGUCCUAACC
Molecule: ribosomal RNA, 482 nt
Filed under: Babesia canis
Lineage: Eukaryota; Apicomplexa; Aconoidasida; Piroplasmida; Babesiidae
Description: SSU rRNA
Rfam family: Eukaryotic small subunit ribosomal RNA
Source: RNAcentral